Molecule: ribosomal RNA, 948 nt
Filed under: uncultured archaeon
Lineage: Archaea
Description: bacterial SSU rRNA
Rfam family: Archaeal small subunit ribosomal RNA
Source: RNAcentral
CCGGUUGAUCCCGCCGGACCUUACUGCUAUCGGGGUGGGACUAAGACAUGCGAGUCGAGCGUCUCUAGCUAUGUUAAGACGCGGCAUACGGCUCAGUAACACGUGGUUAACCUACCCUCAGGACAGGGAUAAACCCGGGAAACUGGGGCUAAUACCUGAUAGGUGAGGAUGCCUGGAAUGGUUUCUCACUCAAAGGGCUUUGGAAACAUGCUUCCACUGUCGCCUGGGGAUGGGGCCGCGACCGAUCAGGUUGUUGGUGAGGUAACGGCUCACCAAGCCUAUAACCGGUACGGGCCGUGAGAGCGGUAGCCCGGAGAUGGGUACUGAGACAAGGACCCAGGCCCUACGGGGCGCAGCAGUCGCGAAAACUCCGCAAUGCACGAAAGUAUGACGGGGCUACCCCGAGUGCCAUCCGCUGAGGAUGGCUUUUCUUUGGUAUAACUAGCCAGGGGAAUAAGGAGAGGGCAAGACUGGUGUCAGCCGCCGCGGUAAUACCAGCUCUCCGAGUGGUAGGGAUGAUUAUUGGGCUUAAAGCGUCCGUAGCCGGCUUAGCAAGUCUCCUGUUAAAUUCAGCGACCUAAUCGUUGAGCCGCGGGAGAUACUACUAGGCUAGGAGGCGGGAGAGGUCGACGGUACUUCUGGGGUAGGGGUGAAAUCCUAUAAUCCCGGGAGGACCACCAGUGGCGAAGGCUGUCGACUAGAACGCGCUCGACGGUGAGGGACGAAAGCUGGGGGAGCGAACCGGAUUAGAUACCCGGGUAGUCCCAGCCGUAAACGAUGCGGGCUAGGUGUUGGGGUGGCUACGUGCCACUUCAGUGCCGCAGGGAAGCCAUUAAGCCCGCCGCCUGGGGAGUACGGCCGCAAGGCUGAAACUUAAAGGAAUUGGCGGGGGAGCACCACAAGGCGUGAAGCUUGCGGUUCAAUUGGAUUCAACGCCGGGAAUCUCUA